RNAcentral lists this transfer RNA (74 nucleotides) under Kluyveromyces marxianus DMKU3-1042. RNAcentral describes it as "tRNA-Phe (CUU)". It matches the Rfam family "tRNA". Rfam says of the family: Transfer RNA (tRNA) molecules are approximately 80 nucleotides in length. Lineage: Eukaryota; Fungi; Ascomycota; Saccharomycetes; Saccharomycetales; Saccharomycetaceae. The record is from RNAcentral.
GCUGCUUUAGCUCAGUUGGGAGAGCGUGAGACUGAAGUUCUUAAGGUCCUGUGUUCGAUCCACAGAAGCAGCAC